This 1148-nucleotide long non-coding RNA is filed under the name Gossypium barbadense (sea-island cotton). RNAcentral describes it as "long non-coding RNA (GBAR_LNC016730)". The record is from RNAcentral. Lineage: Eukaryota; Viridiplantae; Streptophyta; Magnoliopsida; Malvales; Malvaceae.
GAGGGAGGAAGAAGCACCAAGUGGAGGUUGAGUUUGGUGUGUUGUGAUUUGAUCAGGGUUGAGGACAGGUUGCUGGGUGAUCAGAGCAUGUGGUUGAGUUUGCGUAGGUGCUUGUUGGGUAAGAGGUGGUUGAGUUAAUGUUUGGUUUGAGGGAAGCUCUGGGUUGGUGGGGUUUGUUAUGUCUGCUAGAUUGAUAGGGGUCUCAAUUUUUAAAGGAGUCAUGGUUCGGUCCACACUCACUGGACCAAUUGUUGAUAUUGGGUAUCAUCAAAGGUAAAACAAGAAGGAGAUGAUGUUGGUGACAAGAAGGUCAGUUCACCUGUUAUGGGUGAAGAGCUAGAGUAAGGAAGGAGGAGGAAGAGAAGAGGAACAGAAAUAAGGAGAGGAAGAGAAGAUUGUGUGCUAAGGUAUAUCGCCAGGGUUGCUGAAAAGGGAGAAGAUCCCUUUAUUCUUGUGUCUUGAGGUAUUUAUAGGUGGGGAUUCUAAUGUCUAGCCAUUCCACGUUAUCGCCAAUCUUAGGGUAUGGAAAAUGUAUGGUCAACCAAGUGACAAGGCCGUUAUACGUUAUUUGUCAUCAAGUUUAUUACGAUUCUAAUAUUCUCUUUGUUGAGGUAGUACGAGAUUACUAGACUUCAAUGAUCUCCUCUUGAUGAUUGUAUAUCCACUAAUAGCGAUUAUAACCCCUAAUUUUACGGAGUUAAAUAUUAUACCAAGUCAUAACACCUAUAUCUACUAUUAUAAUUCGAUCUAUUAGCAAAGCUAUGAGCUAACUAUUACAAAUCAUUAACAAACCCUAUGCUAACUAUUGUAUCACGUUAGGCGGGUCCGAGUUAAUUAUGUAUUUUUGUAUGUGUUCUCAUGUGCAAUGCAUCAAUUUUCUUUAGGUGAAAUCAUAUUUCUAUAGACAUUACAUGUUGAUCGAUGAAGGAAAUUCGUAUGUAUUUUCGGUGAAUGCUCUCAUCUUCUUGGAGUUGCUUCUUUAUUUAUUGCAGCUGAUGAAUAUGUAAGCAUUGCAUCAAGUAAUGGCUAGAUCUUCAUUUACUACAAACACCAUCUUAUCUUUCACCUUUGUGUAAUUGGUUUAAAGAACAAAUCCAACUUGAUCAUGUCUUGAUAAAUUUUUAGAUAGAAAUUCAGUUCAAUCUCGA